AAUAAUGCGUGAAUUAUUAAGUACUUGAUCAGUGCGGUGUUGCUCGCAAUCUCUAUCUAUUACGAAGCGACCUCGAGGUAUGGGAUAUCACGCAUGCGCAAGAAGGUCUUGUGGGUAGAGUCUCGUGGUCUCGUGAGAGCGAUAUCUCUGCAUGGUUAUCUCGCCAGUGCUUCUUGCAAUUAUAAGUCUCGUAUAACAUUAAAAAGAGAUAUAUUUCGUAAAUCGAGUGAGAAAUAUAGAAAAGGGGUGCACGCACGCACACACACACACACACACACUCAUCGCCACCGUUCCGGCCGGGACUCUCACGCGGGCAGACGCAGGUAGACGAGGGAAACGUGCUAUCACAGGAACACCCCUUGUUUCAAUUUUUGCAGCGCCAGUAUAGUAUUUGAUUAUUUCUUAUUGUAACUAUGAAUAACGCACGUAAAAUGAAACUUGUUUCUAAACGUCAUGGUAGACGAAUUAUUGCAAACAAUACUGAUAUAGAUAUUGCAGGGUGUCAUAAACAUGUUUCUAAUCAGUAUACUGACACUAUCUUUUCCAAGGAUUCUGGUAAUUUAGAUUCUUCUAAUUUAGAUUGUGAUGAUACUAUUACAGAAGUUGAUAUUUGUAAUAUACGUGGUACUAAAGAAGUAUUUAUUGGAUCUAAUACAUUCUCAGGAAAUCAGUUUCAAUAUAAUAAUAAUAUACAAACAAACAGUUCUAACUAUCAUAACUAUGUUAUAAAUGAAGUAAACGAGACUGAUAACAAUAAUGAACACGAAUUAAGAAAUGCAAUAGCUACAUGGGCAGUAUCUCAUAAUAUUACCCAAAACGCAUGUAAUGACUUAUUACAUAUUUUUCAUCGAUAUAUAUCAUAUAAUAUACCUACAGAUAUACGAACAUUAUUACGAACUCCAAAAAAAACUGACGUUUUAAAAACAUGUGGAGGAGAAUACUUUUAUACAGGUUUUCAAGAUAUUAAAAAACUGUUACGAAAAAAUGAUAAUACAUAUAUUAAUUUAAUUAUAAAUAUUGAUGGUCUUCCCUUAGCGAAAUCAUCACAAGCAUCGUUAUGGCCAAUUUUAUGUUCCAAUUCAGUCAAUACAGCAGUAUACCUAGUUGGUGCUUAUUUUGGAUAUCAAAAAUCUACUGAUCCUAAUGUCUUUUUGCAACCGGUUAUCGAUGACUUAAUUAAUCUUAUUAAUAAUGGUUAUAAUCAUAAAGGAAAGAUAAUAAAAAUAAAAUUAUUUGCUUUAAUAUGUGACGCACCUGCGAAAUCUUUCAUUUUAUGUAUAAAAGGUCACACCGGAUUUAAUAGUUGCACUAAAUGUUUAAUCAAAGGAAAAUAUAUAAACAAUAGAAUUUGUUUUCCACAUAAUAAAACUUAUCCUUUAAGAAAAGAUGAAUUAUUUGCUACUAAUACAUAUAAAGAUUUUCAGAUUAAUUAUUCUAUUUUAAAUAAUGUUCCAGAAUUUUUACCAUUAACUAAUACUCCACUAGAUUAUAUGCAUCUCAUAUGUUUAGGGGUUGUUAAAAAAAUGAUAAUUCUUUGGAUGAAGGGUCCAUUUUCUGUACGUUUAAAUACAAGGUCCAUUAUUAAAAUAUCACAUCUGUUAAUUGAAUUUAGAAAUACUACACCAAAUGAUUUCCCUAGAAGACCCAGAUCGUUAAAAGAAGUUAAAUACUGGAAAGCUGUUGAAUUUCGAAAUUUUUUAUUAUAUACAGGUCCUAUUGUAUUAAGAUACGUAUUAAGAAAAGACAUAUAUAUUCAUUUUGUGACUCUACAUGUUGCUGCAACAAUACUUUUGCGUCAAAAGGAAUGCCAAAAGGAAUUAAUAAAUUUUGCUGAAGCUUUAUUGGUUCACUUUGUUAAAUCGUUUCAAAUAAUAUACGGC
Molecule: long non-coding RNA, 1880 nt
Organism: Vollenhovia emeryi
Lineage: Eukaryota; Metazoa; Arthropoda; Insecta; Hymenoptera; Formicidae
Exons: 2
Source: RefSeq, a predicted model, not a curated record